AUCCCAGUGCUGUCUCCCUUCUGUCUAUAAGUAGUGAAAUUUUUAGUUAAAAUAUUUAUGUCUAGUGUCAUAGUUGUUGCUGAACAAAGCCCUUUAAAAGCCUUCCAUGUAAGCUGUUUGUAUUGUCUUGAGCAGGCUUUUUUCUUUUCUUUUCCCUCAGUUCCUUUAAAAAAGUACUUCAAGUCCCACAGAAAGAGGAGGAUCUUGGAAAACCCCCAGCCUAGAAGAAGAAAGCUUUGGUGUUAUAGGAUGAAGGUAAUAAAACGGGAGCUGUGCAGGAGUUGGCAUCAAGAGGUGGUUCAGGUAGAUGGAAGUCCAGAGGGAGCUCAGCCUCAAGAGGUGGUCCAGGAACACAUUCAGGAAGAUGAAAGCCCAGAAGGAGCUCAGCAAAUCUGCUCACCAGUACAGCUGGAGCAAGGAGAUCAUCCCUCAGCAGCACAGCUACCACCCUCUGCUCAAGAGCCACAGGGAGGUAAUGAUAUCCAUGUGCACCCACAGAGUCAGCCAGUGCAAGAAGACAUGGCCCCAAACAUGGGACCACAACCAGCGUCAAGGUGGGAGUUCCCAAAAGUGACUGUCAAGGUGCAGCCCCAGAACAUGAGCCAGGGGUGGGACUCCCCAGAGGUGACAGUGCAGGUGCAGCCUCAGAGGCCAAGCCCAAGAUGGGAAGCCCCAUCAGUGACGGUGCAGUUACAGCAGCAGGGCUCAGGGCCGUCUCUCCCACAAGUAACUGUACAGCUACAGCCCCAGGAGGGGGGACAAGACACUGCUGGCAUCAAGGUCACUGUGCAGCUGCAGCUGGGCUGUGACCCAGAAGAGGUAAACUGCCUCCAGAACCAAGGUGAGGAAGUGUUAGAUAAUGGAGAAGAGUGGACCCCCCAAAAAAAUCAGAGAGAGAUGAUGACAACAUCUGAAGGUGAGAGAGAGCUUGCUGUGGUGGAGCUGGUGCCACAGGGGUUUCUGAGCCAAAAACAGGAUCAAGGAGGAGAAGUGGAAAAAGCCCAGCAAGAUGAGACCCAAGAGGGAAGAGCAGAAGUGGUGGAGCUGCAUGACAUGCAGGCUGGAGACAAAGCAGACUUGAAUGGGAUGGUGACAGAGGAACAGCUGCAGGGCCAGAGGCAAGAGCAGGAACAGCUAAAAGCAGACCUGCUUCUGCAAAAGGAAGACCAAAGAAGUACAACGAUGAGACAGAAGCAUGGUAAUAUCCAAGAAGGGCCCAGGGAGAUUGUAGAAGACCACAAGGAAGACCUAGCACACAAACAGUCUAAGAAGCGUCCAAGAGAAUCUCCAAAUUAUUUUGUUGCUAUUCCAAUAACAGAUGAUCAGGUUGUGCGACUGUUUACUGGGCUGCACAAUGACUGCUGGGUUUUAUGGAGAAAGAUUGCAAAACAAAAGGAUAUUGACCCAGCUGUUUCGAUCUAUAUUUUGGACAGAAUUGAAGAUGUUCAAGAACUCAUACUCUCUAAAGAGCCUGACCUGUCAAGAGCUCUUCUUCCUGUUCAAACUAUGCACCUUACUAUAAUAGUAGCUCAUCUGGGAACAGAAGAAGAAGUGAAAAAGGCUGUUCUGGCACUGAAGCAAAGCAAGACUAAAGUGGAAGACAUCUUGCAGGGUAAAGACCUUAAUUUGACAUUCCAUGGCAUUGGAGAGUUUAAUAACCAAGUGCUAUAUGUGAAAAUGUUGGAGGAAGACCAGAAAAUGCUUAACAGAAUUACAGAAGCUGUGGAAGAAUGCUUUAUUGAAAUGAAUCUUGACAUUUCAGGAAGUAAGGGCUUCAAACCACAUCUGACUUUCCUGAAGCUCUCUAGAGCAUCAAGGUUGAGAAGAAGGCACACUUCAGAUGACAGAAGAAAUAUUUACUGAGAAUAUUUUAAGAAGCAUGUUGUCCCCUCUCAGAAUAAAACAAACUGCUGUCAUGUCUUCAUGAGGAUUCCAUGCCCUGGACCAAGCCACCUCAGUGAUGGACACCAUGUGAAUCAAAAGAAACAACAUCAGCACCUUAUUGGCAUUUUUUCUUUUGAAAGAAGAACAGAACAGAAUUGAGAAACAACUCACCUUUUUCAUUUGUUUUCUUCAUGAGGCUGGAAUGCAAAGAGUUUCACCAGAGUUGUGCAAACAAUAUUUGUAAGCUGUCCCCAGAAUAAUUAUGAAGAAGUUCUCCCUCUGGCUUCUGUACAUCCUAUAUUCUUCCCAUCAUGUGAGUAUGAGAAAGCAUCUUAAAAAUGUGCCACAACAAGAAUUUUACCUUUUGGUUUUUAUCUUCCCCCACUCCCAAGCUGUUGUGUUUUUCACUAACCUCACGUAUUUGCUUUUUGCAAAAAAACAAGAAAAAUUGAAGAAAUGUUCAGAAAGUACAAAAAGUUUAAACCUUCCAGUAUAAAUACAACAUGAAAUAAAGGCUUUAAAUAUCAGCAUAAUAAUCAUGAACCUUUCAGCUUCCUUCUGCAAAAACACAUGAACCUGGAACAAGAUUAAACUCACGUGCUAUUGAUAAUGCUUCUGAGUUGAGCAAGUGAAUUGGUCAAACACUGGCCAAAAAUUCUUAAUAAAUAAGUAAAAAUGUCAGUGUAACAUUUAUUACAUGUUUAAAAGCUUGGGUGAAAAAUGUAUGAUUCCUCUGGCUUUCUUUAAUGCUGUCAACUCACUUUUCCUUUUUCCAUCCCUUUCUUUCAUAUUUCCCCUUUGUCUCUGAAAAGGGCAGGAAAAGAACAUGAAAAGUGGUAAUUUAGUUUUUAAUUCCUCAAAAAUUUCCCAUUCUUUUCUUCAUUAAAAAAUCAGUCAUGUCAGGAUUAAUUCUUAAGAUACUUGAGAACAGCAGAAAAAGUAGCUGUGCCUAAGGCCCUCUGAGCUCCUUGGGCAACCUUGAGGAUGCCAUAUUGUUUGCCUGAUGCCUACAUUCCAAGGGAUACCUAGGCUGCUGAGAACCACAGAGGUUCUGUGACAGACAACAUGUUCUUGUUUGAAAAGCUGCUCUGAGCUCCUGAGAUGGAAUGGUCUAAAGCAGCAGGGACUAUUCCUUAAGGUUAUGUGCAAGUAAAGGUGGGAGACAACUCUUCUAGCAGACUAGAAGAUAAGAAAUUAAGGUGCAUUGCCUGAGUUGUUUAACCAUGGCCUUGCUUCUCGCUUUUUCUACAAAUACAGAAAAAUUCUAUCACAGUGAACUCUGAGCUGUCAUGCCAAAUGUUCUUUAUUAAUGUAUUUUUGUAGGUAGAAAGUUAAGGUUUAUUGUACUUUGGGGGAGACACUUCUUCACACUGGCUGAAACCCUACUGUAGUAGUUACAUCCCUCUGUGUCAUGGGUCACAGGGCACCCUUUAACGGCAUGGUGUGGAGAAAAGCAGAUCCCAGGAUUUGCCAAAUGCAAGCUGUUCAUUACAAAUUACUGACCUACUGCAAACACUAAAAUCUGCCAAUGCAUAUCUAGUUAACCAUCCAGCUAAAUUCCUCUGAAAGAAAGUUGGCUUUUUUUCCCCCACAGUAUUCUAUACACCUUCGUUAUCUACAGAAAGAUAAAGAGAUCUAAUGAUGUAAUUUUAAAACUUGUCUGCCAGGGCAUUGGGCAACAGCCAACAUUUCUUGUUAAAUUUUAAUUUUUUUUAUUUUUUUUUUUAAGGAGCAUGUGGAAUAGGAUGCAGCAUGGCCAAUAAAUCAUUUCAUCUAAGUAGAAGUGGAUCAUUAGCUGGGGUUGCCAUAGCUGGGACCUUACUGGACAGGUCACUGUUUCAUCAACAACAGUAUCUAGAAGAGGAUUAAGUAUUACCUGAUGUCAGUGUGUUAGGAACUUCAAGGUAGAGGUACAGCAGAGUAAUUUGCUAUGGGUAGUAAAAACCAGUACUAUUUAUGUAUAUAAAGAGUCUUGUGGACAAUGGCACACAAUAAUAUCAGAGAAAAAAAUACUUUUGGAGGUCUUAGGGAAGAAAAUGUGUGGCUGGGGUGGCAGAGUAAGGUAAUAUGAAGUCCCAGCUCUAUGAGUGUUUCUUUCUUUAACAAUCCUUAGUUUUAUUUUAGAGACCUAGGGGGAUAGUAAGCUCCUUGGUGUAUAGUUACACAUUAAGGAACACAUUUCUUCAAGAAGAAACUAAGGAGCCAAAGGUGUAGUAUAUGUAAGAUUAGCCUGCCCUGGAUUUGUGCCAGUCUAUAGUUUUGUUGAGUUUAAAGAAUCUGAGUUAGACAUAGUUUGAUACCUCUGUAGGUCACAAAAUGCUUGGGAGAAAACUUUUUAAUGAGUUAAACACUGCCUGGAGUUGAAACACUGCAAUUGUAGGGUUUUAAAUAUCUCUGUCACAGAGAAAUCUAAAAUACUACACAAAUAAAGAGAAACAGAAAGGUCAUUUUCUCUAGCUCAUACCCUGGGAAGCGUCUCUAUAUGGCUCUUUCUUCCAGUUCCUCUCCUUUACCAACAUUUAUUUUCUCAGAGGAUGUCCUGUGUUUUACUCUUACUUUCUAACAUUUGAUAGUCAGUCUAAAUAAAAUAAGAAAGCAAUGGUUUUGUAAUAGCAUCAUUUGGUAGAAGUUGGAAGCAAAACAGAAAUGUGGAAAAUACAGCUCCUUCAAGAUCAGAAUGUGUGAAGAAAGUCUGUUAAAAAUUAACACAGAAGUGUUUGAGCAGGAGGGAAAGAAGGAUGUUCCUGAUUUAGGGAUCAAUUCUGAACAGCAUGAAGAGGUGGAGGUUCAACAGAUUUUAGAGAAGGGGAAUUAAAGGAAUAUUUUUACUUAAUUUAUGUUGCUGCUAAAAACCAACUGAAGUGUAGGGGAACAUCUAUAUUUUAGCUAGAGAAAUGAAGGAUGCAGAAGGAAUGACUGAGUGAGCCCACUGUUUUCCCAACUUGGUGUGGAGAAAAUGUGAGCUCUGAAUGAUAAAUUGUAGAUAUCAGUGACAGUAACAUAAAUAAUCAUGAAAAAUAUUAAGAACAAAUGUAUAAUUCUAUGAUACUACUAAAGAUCCUUUAAUUAAGGAUCUUUUAUUUAAUAAUCCUUUAAUCCAGGCUGGUCAGGAGUCCACACACUCUACAAGGAGUCCACAAGGAGGAGGAAUGAGGUGCCCAGGGUCCAGGAGCCUUUGCCAGCUGCAUGGCAGGUCUUAGCAGAGUACUCACCAAUAGAUGAAAUCUGGAGAAACAUCCCUAGGGAAGCCAAAUUCCAGAGAGGCUGUCCUCUGCCCUUUCUAUUGCAGGAGUGAAGAGAGAUCUCAGUGCAGGCAGGAGCUGUCCUCAGGCCAUAAUGUGGCACUCACAGGCUGCCAUUCCUUCAUGGACACAGAGGCAGGGCAUCCCCACAGUGUUUGGGUCCCCUGUGUUUAAACAAAUAUAGCACCAAUUUGGGCACAGACAAAUGAGGAUGAAUGUCUGGGAGUACCAAUUCUGAAGCUGUUGACACUUGUGGUUGCUGUGGGUACAGCUGCAUGGGUGGGCUCCUUGCCUCAUAUUCUCUGCUUUUCCUGAGCUCAGUAAAGAGAAGGGAGGGGAGGCAGGGCCAGAGAGUGAAUCAGAUGCCUGAAAUUAGUUGCUGUGAAACCAAAGGCCAGACUGCAGUUGCAAGAAAGGCAAUAAUAGCAUUAAACUCUUGUGCAGUCGGUCUGGGCUUCAAAUCUCUGAGAAAAUGCUCCACACUUCUAACACCCUCCUGCCUCCUAACUCCUACCUCCACAGAGCAGUAGGUGCAUAAAGCUCCUGGUAACAAGUGUGUGCAGCACUGGAUACUUAGUCAUGAGGGGGAAUAAGGCUGGCAGCAGAGGUUGGUGCCUGCAGAGAGAAAACAUUUACCAGCUGAUGCUUCAAACAGCAGCUGCAGCAUCCUCAGAUUCACCAGCUCCCACUCAAAGACCUUGCCUGAAUUGAUUCAACAUGCAGCAGGAAGGCCACGUGCAUCAAUAGAGGAGCCUGAUCUCAGCAGAGAAACAUCUGGCUGUGAGUAUGAAAAAGUCUUUACCCCAGUGGGACCAACAAGGAUAAAGGUGAGAGCUCUGUGGGGUGUGGGAAGGGAGCAGAGCCUUUCCAGUGUCAAUGAUGCCCAUAAACCAUUUGUGGGGGAAGGAAGGCAGUGAGAAAUGUGCUUUUGAGAAUGGGAGAGGCUGAAGCGCAGAGCAGUAAUAAGGCAUUUGAAAUUAAGAAAAAUCAAGGCCUGCUACCUCAUCACUCAAGAGGUGGGGGAGCUGGCCUUGCACUGGGGAGAGGGACCUGUACUGGAACCAGGCAGAUUGAGCUGGGAUCCCAUUACUGUGUUGCUGCAACCUUGGCUUUACUGUGUAUAUCUGGAAGGAUACUGUUGGUUGGCAUUGGGUUUUGUAUGUAUAAAACUUGGGAAUGUCUUUCCAAAACAUACUAGGACAAAAUAUGCUGUGUUCUCUACAAGAUGUUUGUGGGUUUAAGUAUAUAUGUAUCUGUUCUCCUGUAUUUCUAUGUUGUAUGUGUAUAUAUAGAUGAGGGAAAAAAGAAAUACUUGAUAUAUGAGUAAAAUAUGGGUCUGUGGUCAAGCAUUUGCUCUGAAUAGUGGAAAGAUUCAGAAUAGAAAAAUGCAAUAUUUUUUAGUGAUUGAGAUGAACUUUUAUAAUUUUAAAAGUAUCUUUAUACUGUAUUAUUUGUCCAUUACUUUCCAGAAGGGUAUACAUGAUAUAUGGCUGAAUGCCACAAACAGUUUCUGUAAGGAAGUAUUUUCCAGUUGUCAAUAAAUGGGCAGUGUAUCUGAGAAGAGGAUUGCAUCACACUUUCUCCAGAUUUCCUAGCUGGCAGUCUCUGCUCACCUCCCAGCGGCCCUCUGCUCUGCUGCUCUGGCAGUGUUUAAUGUUCAGCUGGAGAGAAAAAAGAGGAUUGUCCUUUCAGAAUGUACAUACAUCAGCCCUGACUGAAAGAGAAAUACAGCAGGAAACACUGAUUCCAAAUUGCUAUUUAAAGUGUUGGACUUCUUCUGAAAUGCAGACACAACAGAAAUAAAACACAAGCUAAAAGCAGUGAUUUUUGUUCAAGUAGAGAAAGGACUCCCUUUUGGCUCCUUUUUAAAAGCAUUAACUAUAUCCAAAGAGCAGUUGAAAUGGGGUGAGAAUAAAAUGGUAUUUCUGAUGUAAACAACUAAGCUUUGAUAGCAAUAACUACUCCUUUAGAUACUGGUCUCUGCUGUACUAGAAUUUGGGAGGUAAAAACAGUUUCUUAUUCUUGGUGGCAAAUCUGCUGGGCUAAAUCUGAAGCUAAAAGCUCCAGAAUCUCCAGGCACAGCUUGCCAAGUCUAAAGGCUCCUACUAAACGUAUGUCAUCUGGAGGCUGAUACAUGAGCUACUGCUCAUAUACUGCACAGAAUUAUGCCAGCCCCUUAUGCGAGGCCCUCCACACAGGACACUGGGAUUUUGUGGCUGAGAAAUGGGUCUGGACCUGCUCCUCUCUUUGGUGUGGGGAGAAUGAUUAUUGCAUACUAGACAAGCAGUAAUGUGUAUUGUAUAUGACGUGCUUGCUCACUGGGUUGUUUUCUCCUACCUAGCCUGUCAGUAAUCAGAGACCAGAACUUGCAUGGCACACUUUCUGGACUAGUAUCACUUGGUGCAUUAGAUAGAUCUAAAAAUGAAUCACUUGCUGUGCUGCUCCCAAGACAUUCUUUUAUCAUCCUUGAGUGAUAGUAGGUAUAGAUGAUACCCCAAACUACCAGAAUUUCUUUGGGCUUAGUGCCAAUAUUUAAUGUCUUAAAAAUGAGAAGAUAUAGCUCUUAUCUAUACUUAGAAAAGCCUUUUUGGGGAUGCAGCAUGAUGUCCAAUUCUAGCAAAGACAUAUCCUGCCAUCUGCCACACUGAGCCUAUGUCUGAUUCUGAUCCAAUGCCAAUUAAAUCUAGCAUACAGAAAGCAGAGGUAAGGAGUCCAAAACAAUAAAGAGAACAUGAAGAUCACAGAGGGAAGUUGAUGCCUCAUUCCUACACCGGUAGGGAUCUAUCCACUAGCAAAGGGCUUAAAAGAAAGAGCAGAAGAAGGAGACCAGAAAAAAAUAUACUGACUGCAUGGCAAAAGAAAUGUUACCAUAUUGGUAUUCCUGAAGUACCUCAGCCGCCCCUUUUGCUUAGAGUAGGCAACAAUGACCUUAUCUCACAGAACUGGUAUGAGCAGUGGUUGGCUUUUUCAUGGUGCUUUAUUUAACCUACUAAUGAACCAAUAUACAAACAUACACUUGUAUGUGAGAAAAUAUGGACUUUAAUAUUAAACUUUUUUCAGAGAAGGCCAAAAAAUAGAGAUGCAGCUGCUCAUGCUGAAUUGCUAAGCAUCUGAUCAACUCAGGAGUCACAGUGCCCUGGAUGGAGUUGGGAGCAGUCUCUGGCAUGUGGACAUCACUAGUAUCACUUUCUUCUCCCCCAUAGCUCAGAAUAAUCAACAACAGACCACUUAUUUCAAGCUAGAAAGGCAGCUGUCGGUGGCUUUCUGUGAGAGCUAAAGGCAGAGCAUAAGAGCAAAAGGAAUGUUAUAUUGUUCAGACCAUGAACAGGAUACUUCAUCUUCUAUGUGCAACUGCUCAGGUCAUUGUAGGUUCUUUUUUGAGGCUUUCCAGUUUGUUGUGGUGUUGUAUAGGGUCUGUCUGUCAUUUACCUAUUCAUGCAGUACUUGCCUGGCUUCUUUUUACACCCAUAUGUGGUUUUUUAUAGCCACAAUAGGAAGGAAUUCCACAUAUACUAUCCAUGUGUGUGAAGAACUAGCUCCUUUUGCUGGUUUUGAAUUCAGCUCUUGCUUUUUGGCCUUAGUUCUGGCAUUGGAAGUGACAGGAAGUGACUGGUCUCUGCCCACUUUCUUUGUGUAGCUAAGGCUUUCUUGGACCUUUACUCUAAACACCUAAGAUUCCUCUUUUCUAUAAUAAAGAGUUCCAGACUC
Molecule: RNA transcript, 8834 nt
Organism: Passer domesticus (house sparrow)
Lineage: Eukaryota; Metazoa; Chordata; Aves; Passeriformes; Passeridae
Exons: 8
Source: RefSeq, a predicted model, not a curated record